This 162-nucleotide ribosomal RNA is filed under the name Triticum aestivum (bread wheat). Its description in RNAcentral is "partial small subunit ribosomal RNA". Lineage: Eukaryota; Viridiplantae; Streptophyta; Magnoliopsida; Poales; Poaceae. The record is from RNAcentral.
AUGGGCCUGGAGAAGAAGAGCGUGGCCAUCAUCGGCGCCGGCGUGAGCGGGCUCGCGGCAUGCAAGCACCUGCUGGAGCGCGGGUGCCGGCCGGUGGUCUUCGACGCGGGCGCCACCGUGGGCGGCGUGUGGCCCAAUGCCAUGGAGGGGACCAGGCUCUAG